AGUCGAACGGGAUUUGUGCGUAGCACGAGGAAUUUAAAUUCGAAUUUCUCGCGCUAUGCACGAGUUUAGUGGCGAACGGGUGAGUAAUGGAUAGGAACAUGCCUUAAAGAGGGACAUAGUUCGCCGAAAGGCGAGGUAAUUUCCCAUAAUGUCGCAAGACCAAAGAUGCAAAUCACUUUAAGAGUGGCCUAUCUACUACCAGCUAGUUGGUGGGGUAAUAGCCUACCAAGGCGAUGACGGUUACCGGCUCUUAGCGGAGAGUCCGGCACAAUGGGACUGAGACACGGCCCAUACACCUACGGGUGGCAGCAGUUAGGAAUUUUGCGCAAUGGACGAAAGUCUGACGCAGCGACACCGCGUGAAGGAUGGAGACCUUCGGGUUGUAAACUUCUCUUGUUCCGGCACAUGCCGGGACGAAUAAGCAACUACUAACUAUGUGCCAGCCGCCGCGGUAAUUCA
RNAcentral lists this ribosomal RNA (459 nucleotides) under uncultured bacterium. Its description in RNAcentral is "bacterial SSU rRNA". It matches the Rfam family "Bacterial small subunit ribosomal RNA", at positions 60 to 527 of the family's 1533-position model. The record is from RNAcentral.